GACAGAGGUGCCGAGCGUUAGGCGGAAUCACUGGGCUUAAAGCGUGUGUAGGCGGACCGUUAAGUACCUUGUGAAAUCCCCCGGCUCAACCGGGGAACGGCUGGGUAUACUGGCGGUCUUGAGCCAUCCAGGGGCAGUCGGAACAGACGGUGGAGCGGUGAAAUGCGUAGAGAUCGGAAAGAACACCAACGGCGAAAGCACUCUGCUGGGCCGACACUGACACUGAGAGACGAAAGCUAGGGGAGCGAAUGGG
Molecule: ribosomal RNA, 253 nt
Filed under: uncultured bacterium
Lineage: Bacteria
Description: partial 16S ribosomal RNA
Rfam family: Bacterial small subunit ribosomal RNA
Source: RNAcentral